GCAGUCAGUCCACAUAAAACCCACCAGGGCUACAUUCACUUCCAGCUAACUUCACAGAGAACAACGAGGGCAGAACAGCAUCACCGAUCUUUUAAGCUUCAGAAACC
Sander lucioperca (pikeperch) is the source of this 107-nucleotide long non-coding RNA. RefSeq lists it as uncharacterized. The record is from RefSeq and is a predicted model, not a curated record. NCBI's taxonomy places the organism in Eukaryota, Metazoa, Chordata, Actinopteri, Perciformes, Percidae. The transcript has 3 exons.